AUGACUAGAGAUAAUCUUAGGAGAAGACACAUCAUUAAACCUCUGACUUGUGUGUUUUGUUCCUCGGAUGAGUCCAUUCAGCAUUUAUUAUUCGAUUGUGUGGUAGCUAGAAUCAUGUGGGCUCUGGUAAGAGACCACUUCAACAAAGAACUAGGAUCAGAUCUUUCUGUUGCUAGGUUUUGGGUUGCUAAUAAGAAGAAUGCAGCUCUUAAUGUUGCUAGUUCAGCCACGCUGUGGUGUUUAUGGAAAUUUAGAAAUUCCAUGAUCUUUAAUAAUGUUAUGUGGUCCAACAUUAAGAAGGUGAUAGGGAAGCUUCAAACUAUGGUUUAAAACUGGAUGAUCCUCUGUGGGGAAUAGGAAAGAUCCCAGCUGGAAGCAUUCACCUCCUUCCUAGCGAUUCAUCUGGCGAAGUGGCUCGGUUUGACCAUGGGCUGA
This 435-nucleotide ribosomal RNA is filed under the name Triticum aestivum (bread wheat). RNAcentral describes it as "partial small subunit ribosomal RNA". The record is from RNAcentral. Lineage: Eukaryota; Viridiplantae; Streptophyta; Magnoliopsida; Poales; Poaceae.